AUGAUCCCAAAGACUGGUUCCCCAGAAAAGGAGAUAAUGCUAAAAUUGGGUUUCAAAGAAAAGUGGGUAGAUUUAGUUAUGCAAUGUGUAUCUUCUGUGAAGUACCGGGUUCGUUUUAAUAAUGAAGAGACUGAGAGUUUUAAACCUACUAGAGAGGGGCUGACCGCUCUACUAGCUAAUGCAGAGGAGAAUGAUAAUAUUUCUGGAGUUAAGGGGGUUCGGCCGGCCCGUCUCGUCCGCCUCCGGGGGAGCGAUCGGUCGGGAUCAGGAUCCCGUCGAGCUGUUCGGUUUUACUUUCCGCGUCUGGUUUCGGGUGAUCCUCCGUUGGCCAUAGCAAGGUCAGUUUCCUCUCUGCGUUCGUCGGUGAUUUCAGAUUCGAAUCGAAUUGAAUUGAGCGUCUAUCGCCCGUACGGCCUUCUGCCUCUGUGUUCCCCGAUCAAGCGCUCUCGUCACCAGUUAAUACGAUUACGAGGUGGAUUCCAGGGCCUCGUGGAUUCUUGUUGUGCCGCUGAUCUAGCUUUCGGUGUAUGCGCUCUCAUCCUAGAUGCAACCAAGUGGGCGAGCGCUAGUUGUGGGGAGAUGAUAUUGGAUAUAGAUCAAGGGUGGAGGUUUUUUGCUUCUGCCCUCCAUGUCCUUGCAGAUUUGUUUUGGCCUAAGACAAUGCUGCUAGAAGUCUGGCCCUACAUGCAGACCUGUUAUUCGUGUGUUGGCUUCCAUGGGUUGGCUGCAGGACUGGAUCUAGUAUGUGGAGACCCCUGGGGUGUUGUAUGUCAAGGGGAUGUGAGUCAGAUGCAGCAGAAGCAAGAGGGUAGUGGUUCCGCAGAGAUGUGGAGGUUUGGUUUCUUACACAUGGCAAUAUUUUAUAAUACAGAUUCAUAUGCAAAGGUGCAUGAAUCUAAGGAUAAUCCGAAGCUUUCGACUAAUGGCGCAUCCUACAACCGAGAAAGACUCUUGCCUAGGUUUUUGCUCCUGCCCUUCCUGUGGAUGCAGAUCUUUUUUAGCCCAGAGCAUGUGGGUAAUGACGCGGAGUCUGUUCUAAUAUUUUGUCUAGAUGGGACAUCCUACAACCUAAAAUACUUGGUGCACUCCACAACCGAAAAUUAUCUUAUGCUGAGUUAUCUCCUGAAGAAACUACUGUUGUCUUGGCUGCCUUUGCUUGUAGCAUUGAUCAAGCCAUGCUGUAUAUCUUGGUGGGUGUGCCCUGUAGAGUCAGAUACAAGACAGCGGAGAUCGUAUUGA
This 1239-nucleotide ribosomal RNA is filed under the name Triticum aestivum (bread wheat). RNAcentral describes it as "partial small subunit ribosomal RNA". Lineage: Eukaryota; Viridiplantae; Streptophyta; Magnoliopsida; Poales; Poaceae. The record is from RNAcentral.